UACGGGGGGGGCAAGCGUUGUUCGGAAUUACUGGGCGUAAAGGGCUCGUAGGCGGCCAACUAAGUCAUACGUGAAAUCCCUCGGCUUAACCGGGGAACUGCGUCUGAUACUGGAUGGCUUGAGAUUGGGAGAGGGAUGCGGAAUUCCAGGUGUAGCGGUGAAAUGCGUAGAUAUCUGGAGGAACACCGGUGGCGAAGGCGGCAUCCUGGACCAACACUGACGCUGAGGAGCGACAGCGCGGGGAGCAAACAGG
Molecule: ribosomal RNA, 253 nt
Filed under: uncultured bacterium
Lineage: Bacteria
Description: partial 16S ribosomal RNA
Rfam family: Bacterial small subunit ribosomal RNA
Source: RNAcentral